GGUCAUUCUCAGCUGUGACAGUUGCGCUGAAGUUCGCAGUCGGACUUGCUAUGUCUGCUACAGAGAGACAAAGUGAAACAGGCCUUUAACUCUCAGGGACAGUGACACAACUCGCACAACUUAACGGCAGCCUCCCACCGGUGACAAUUAAAUAUGUUUUCCCUGUCAAUGACGGUGCAGCCACAGGUGACUGUACCUCUGAGUCACCUCAUCAACGUCCUCCAUUCACUGAAGAGCUCAGUGGGAAGCAGCAGCAGUGCCACCUGCAAAUCAAGAAAACACAAGGAGCAUGCCUCAGACUCAGAACCACACUGUACAGAGCCUAUGUGGAACCUGCGGGAGUCGGGUUUACUAGACCUGGGAACUCGGCAGCUGGAUGAGCUGAUGAGCCGUGUGUUGCCUCACUUGAGCCCACAGGAGAUGCCACCUUCACUUGGUGGUCAGACAGCCUGGAGGGCCUCACAUCUGUCCACACACUCCUUUUUCCACAAUAAGCAUGGCUUCUCGUCAGGUCCCAUGUUGCCUCCAGUUUUUCCCAGGCAGCACCCUUCACCUCUUCUAUCUGUCUGCACAGAGCUACAAUAUUGGCCAGUGUUGGUUCAGAGCAGAGGCUUUAAAACUUUAAGGAGCAAAACCAGACGACUGCAGUCAGGCUUCGAACGUCCUGCGGAAUCUGAAAGGUUCACACCAUCUUUUAUGAAGGGCUUUCUUACACGUGACAAAGGGAUUGACGUUGAAAAUCUCGACAGCCUCUUGAAGAACAAAAACGUACCUGAUGGACAACAUGAUGCUUUCAAGAGGGGCUUCGCUGAGGGUUUCUUGAAAGCUCAAGCCCUGACACAGCGCACUCAAGACUCUCUGAGGAGGACUCGUCUGAUUCUGCUGGUGCUCCUUCUUGUUGGGCUCUAUGGCAUCUCCAAGACCCCCUUUAUAUCGGUGCGGUUCCGAACCACAUCAGGCCUGGACUCAGCUGUGGACCCUGUGCAGAUGAAAAAUGUGACUUUCGAGCACGUUAAAGGGGUGGAAGAAGCAAAGAACGAGCUGCAGGAAGUGGUGGAGUUCCUGAAAAACCCACAGAAGUUCACAGCCUUGGGAGGAAAGCUGCCAAAAGGUGUUCUGCUUGUUGGGCCUCCAGGGACUGGAAAGACUCUGUUGGCCAGAGCUGUGGCAGGAGAGGCAGAUGUGCCGUUUUACUACGCCUCUGGGUCAGAGUUUGAUGAGAUGUUUGUUGGAGUCGGAGCUAGCCGCAUCAGGAACCUUUUCAGGGAGGCUAAAGCCAACGCUCCGUGUGUGAUCUUCAUUGACGAACUGGACAGUGUGGGUGGAAAAAGGAUAGAGUCUCCCAUGCAUCCUUAUUCCAGACAGACUAUUAACCAGCUGCUUGCUGAGAUGGAUGGGUUCAAACCAAACGAAGGCGUGAUUAUCAUUGGAGCAACCAACUUCCCAGAGGCUCUAGAUAAUGCCCUGAUCCGCCCAGGACGCUUCGACAUGCAGGUGACUGUCCCCAAACCAGAUGUGAAAGGACGCACAGAGAUUCUCAACUGGUACCUGAAGAAGAUUAAAGUGGAUCCAGCUAUUGAGGCCAAUAUUAUUGCCCGGGGCACAGUGGGCUUCUCUGGCGCUGACCUGGAAAAUCUGGUCAACCAAGCAGCUCUAAAGGCAGCAGUUGAUGGCAAAGACAUGGUCACUCUGAAGGAGCUGGAGUUUGCUAAAGACAAAAUUCUUAUGGGCCCUGAGAGGAGGAGUGCAGAAAUAGACAAGAAGAACAAGCUCAUCACAGCGUACCACGAAUCAGGCCAUGCAAUCGUAGCUUACUACACCAAAGAUGCCAUGCCUAUCAACAAGGCUACCAUCAUGCCCAGAGGCCCCAGUCUGGGACAUGUGUCCAUGCUCCCAGAGAACGAUCGGUGGAGUGAGACUCGCUCUCAGCUUCUGGCCCAGAUGGACGUCAGCAUGGGAGGUCGUGUUGCAGAGGAGAUUAUAUUUGGCCAUGAGUACAUCACAACUGGAGCAUCCAGUGACUUUGAUAGUGCCACCAAGAUUGCAAAGCUGAUGGUGACCAGAUUUGGAAUGUGUGAAAAGCUCGGUGUGAUGACCUACACUGACAUGACGGCACAAAGUCCAGAGACACAAGCUGCUGUGGAGCAUGAAGUCAGAGCAUUACUGAAGGAGUCGUAUGAUCGCGCCAAAGCCCUGCUGAAGUCUCAUGCUAAGGAGCACAAGAACCUGGCAGACGCUCUGCUCAUGUACGAAACGCUGGAUGCCAAAGAGAUCCAGCUGGUCCUGGAGGGCAAAACCCUGGAGACCAGAUGAAAGAGAGGGCGGGUGUGGUUUUAAGAGGUUACAGAAAGAAGGAUGGACUUGGAGGCCUGCACUCACAAUGAUCCUGACAAACGCUCAUGUAGGACGAUCACAUCUUAAUGGAAUCUCAUCAUUAUUUCCCAGAUAAGUAGUGCUGUUUUAAACCUAAACAUCUUUACUGUGUUCAGAACUAAGCAGGUGUGAGUCGCGCAGGUUCAUUGUAUGUGAUGAAGGUUUAAAUGCCUAAUGUUAAUGAUCUUGCUCAGGUCACUUUAUUAGCCACUUUAUUAGAGGAAACAAUACAUGAAUGUGAAUAUGUACCUCGAAUAGAAGAACAGCAUCUGGACAAGAUUCUUAUUUUAAAGUUAAUUUCUGACACCAGAGUUGAAAGAGGAAGAUAUUUCUGCUGUAGCCAGGUCAGUGGGAAAUGUACUGUUAGCCCAAAGAGCUACUUUGUAGUCAUGGCGACCAGAAUUUAACUGAAACUCAGCUCAGUUGUCUUCCAGCGUUUGUGUUCGUAUGUGGUAAAUGUCACGUGAAUCUUGCACCUCUGUUAUACUCGGGUUAGUACAAACAGCUGUCACGUCUUUCCAUCUGAUUUUUUUUUUUUUUUGCAUCCAGAUGACUGAACUGAAAACGCUUAUCGGCUUCUGCUGUUCCCGUCUCUUUAUGUCCCUGUUGCUUCUUUUUAAAGGUGGCCUUUUGGGGAAAUGUACCGUAAGCAUAACAUUUUUCUUUCAAGUGGGAAGUGUGCAAACUGCAGUGUCUCAGCACUUUUUCAGAUUCCCACCAAUGAAAAGUUGGGGUAUGCUCAAGAAGUUUUCAAACUGUGAGGGAGGUAUGGAUGGAAAUGUAAGGCAAAGUUUGUGAGCACUUCCCACGGACUGUGAACACUGUCAGAAACACUGGAAUAAACACCAAACCAUGCAGCAGCCCAAACACAAUCACAAGAAACACAAUCUUGAAGAAUGUCCUAAAGAUGUAGCUCCCAGAUGCAGACAGCACCACCACCCCUAAAAUAGUGGACAAAGCUCCUUGCACGAUUGGAUUCCCCAAAUGGGCCAAAGCAUCCAUAGCUUUCUCAUUGGCGUCACUUUUCGUGCUGGAGACGAAAGAGUAAGAAAUAUGUGCUGAGAAAUCUACAGAGAAACCGAUGCUCAUGACCAGGUUGAUCAUGGAGAUGGAGUCCAGAUUUAUGCCCCACAGCGACAUGAAUCCUGUAACGCCAGUGAUGACUGAACAAACUGCAAAAGCCACACAUAUAGAACAGAGAGGAUUUGGUAUCAGGAUGAGUGACGCAACAAGCAUUACAACCACGGCAAUGAGGAUGGUUUGGACGGUGUUUUCUGUGAUGACGGUGUACUGGUCGAAGUAGAUGAAGGCAGGGUGGAACACUAGAAGCUCCACUGGACAUUCCUCUGCUGUUUUCCUGAGUCCAAUCAUCAUGUCUUUCAUCGUAGUUUGGUCUAGCGUCUGGAGGAAAAAGCGAGAAGCCUGGAUGUCACCGUCCACCGUCAGAUUGAUGUCUUGUCUAAACAUGGGGUUGAGUUCUAAGAAAUGUGGCAGGUGGGUGUAGAAGGCCUCUCGGGAGCUUAUGUUGAGAUUAGAGGCAUUAGCAUGGUUUUUAUAGGAGGUAAACCAAGCAAGCGUGUUGUUGACAAAGCUCAAACUUUCAAAACUUGAGUGCAGAUGUUCAUCGUUGCCCCAGUAGGGGAAUGGUUGCUUCACUGCCACCAUCACAUUGCAGCUAAAUUCAGAGAAGUACUGCCUUUGAUGGUUGUAGUAGUCAAUAAUGUAGGAAUCAUCCACAGCCAGAUUCUUGAUGUCGAGUCCUUCGUUUAAGAUGCAACAGCCAUAGAUGCUAACGGCCAGAUAACCUGCGUACAUGACUAACACACAUGCUUUUGUCAGUUUGUGGGUCAAAAAUGGACCGUAGACCCGCUCAAAAAUGUAACUCAUGGCUUCAGUUUCCUCCUUUCCAGUGAUUCGAUUGUAGUGUCCCCCAACACAGCACAUACUGAAGACUUUUGAAUUCCUGGAUGGUACGUCCUCUGGGGUUUUAGCACAGGUGAACCAGUGUUUGUUCUCUGCUUCCCUCUGUCCAUUCAAAGCCAUACACGCCCCCAGGAAAGUGAUGCUGUAGAAAUAGCAGAAGCAAACAGAAACGCCGACGUAGAGGCAGAAGGACCGGACCGAGCCAAAGGGUGAGCUGUAACCCAGGAAGAGAGCCAGAGCGUCGGUCAGGGUGGUGAUGGAGAUGGAGACGGCAGCUUCUCGGUUCUCAGAUGCACCCCUGGUUUGUCAUGUCUGGUUUCAAAAGGCCAAGAUGGCGAUGGACACAAUUUCAAACUCAAGAAGUCCACAAACCAUUGCAUGAUGUCACCAUCAUUUAUAUACAAUCUAUUAGUAGCAAGUUUCAUUUCUUUAAAGGGGAAUUCACCAUUUUAAAAAAAAUGAAAGGUCUUGAAGUGUUCUGCUUUAAUGUGAAGAAGUUCUAUACAGCCUUUUGUGGUUCCACAGGGAACUGUACAAAAUCUGGUAAAUUGCUUCAGUUGCUCUUUGAGUCAGUGUUGGUGUGAAUUACAGGCUACAAGUUUGACAAUGAAAUAAACUAUGGAUCUGGAUUUACA
Amphiprion ocellaris (clown anemonefish) is the source of this 4931-nucleotide RNA transcript. It is a transcript of the gene named YME1-like 1b, with no coding region annotated. The record is from RefSeq and is a predicted model, not a curated record. NCBI's taxonomy places the organism in Eukaryota, Metazoa, Chordata, Actinopteri, Pomacentridae. The transcript has 21 exons.